Molecule: ribosomal RNA, 333 nt
Filed under: Triticum aestivum (bread wheat)
Lineage: Eukaryota; Viridiplantae; Streptophyta; Magnoliopsida; Poales; Poaceae
Description: partial small subunit ribosomal RNA
Source: RNAcentral
AUGCAACUUGUUAGUGGUGGCCACACAAUUGUCUUGGUGAAUGGCUCGGUUACUCCUUACUUCAAAAAUGGCAAUGUCCUUAGGCAGGGUGAUCCUAUAUCCCCCCUUCUCUUCAAUUGCGUGGCCUACACAUUCUCUUGCAUUCUUAACAGGGCUGCCUCCGCGGGCCAUAUCCCCCCAGUCUAUUCUAACCUUCUGCCGGCUGAUAUUUCCCACCUCCUAUACACUGGUGAUACUAUUAUCAUGGCCCAGAACGAUGAUCGUUGCUUGGCUAACCUUAAAUCUUGCUUCUAUGCUUCCAAGAGAUGUCUGGCCUAUGUAUUAUUUUUUUGA